Molecule: ribosomal RNA, 459 nt
Filed under: uncultured bacterium
Lineage: Bacteria
Description: partial 16S ribosomal RNA
Rfam family: Bacterial small subunit ribosomal RNA
Source: RNAcentral
CCUACGUGAGGCUGCAGUGAGGAAUAUUUGUCAAUGGCCGGAAGGCUGAACCAGCCAAGCCGCGUGAGGGAGGAAGGCGCAGAGCGUCGCAGAACACUUUUGCCGGGGGACAAAAGGCCGGACUCGUCCGGUCCUUAUGGUACCCGGAGAAAAAGCAUCGGCUAACUCCGUUCCAGCAGCCGCGGUAAUACGGAGGAUGCGAGCGUUAUCCGGAUUUAUUGGGUUUAAAGGGUGCGUAGGCGGGCUGUUAAUUCAGCGGUCAAAUGUCGGGGCUCAACCCCGGCCUGCCGUUGAAACUGGCGGCCUCGAGUGGGCGAGAAGUAUGCGGAAUGCGUGGUGUAGCGGUGAAAUGCAUAGAUAUCACGCAGAACUCCGAUUGCGAAGGCAGCAUACCGGAGCCCGACUGACGCUGAGGCACGAAAGCGUGGGUAUCGAACAGGAUUAGAUACCCCAGUAGUC